AGAGUUUGAUUAUGGCUCAAGAUGAACGCUGGCGGCGUGCUUAACACAUGCAAGUCGAACGGGCUCAUAUUGAAACCUAGUGAUGUAUGAGUUAGUGGCGGACGGGUGAGUAACGCGUGGAGAACCUGCCGUAUACUGGGGGAUAACACUUAGAAAUAGGUGCUAAUACCGCAUAAGCGCACAGCUUCGCAUGAAGCAGUGUGAAAAACUCCGGUGGUAUACGAUGGAUCCGCGUCUGAUUAGCUGGUUGGCGGGGUAACAGCCCACCAAGGCGACGAUCAGUAGCCGGCCUGAGAGGGUGAACGGCCACAUUGGGACUGAGACACGGCCCAAACUCCUACGGGAGGCAGCAGUGGGGAAUAUUGCACAAUGGGGGAAACCCUGAUGCAGCGACGCCGCGUGAGUGAAGAAGUAUUUCGGUAUGUAAAGCUCUAUCAGCAGGGAAGAAAAUGACGGUACCUGACUAAGAAGCCCCGGCUAACUACGUGCCAGCAGCCGCGGUAAUACGUAGGGGGCAAGCGUUAUCCGGAUUUACUGGGUGUAAAGGGAGCGUAGACGGCAGCGCAAGUCUGAAGUGAAAUCCCAUGGCUUAACCAUGGAACUGCUUUGGAAACUGUGCAGCUGGAGUGCAGGAGAGGUAAGCGGAAUUCCUAGUGUAGCGGUGAAAUGCGUAGAUAUUA
RNAcentral lists this ribosomal RNA (680 nucleotides) under uncultured bacterium. Its description in RNAcentral is "bacterial SSU rRNA". It matches the Rfam family "Bacterial small subunit ribosomal RNA", at positions 8 to 699 of the family's 1533-position model. The record is from RNAcentral.